Acanthosepion pharaonis is the source of this 114-nucleotide non-coding RNA. NCBI's taxonomy places the organism in Eukaryota, Metazoa, Mollusca, Cephalopoda, Sepiida, Sepiidae. The record is from the annotation of a GenBank genome assembly.
UUGCAUCCAUAUUACGUUGAAAUACAGAUUCUCGUUCGAUCACCGAAGUUAAGCAACGUGAAGCCUGCUCAGUACCUAGAUGAGCGACUGCUCGAGAAUACUAGGUGCUGUAAG